GGUGAGUAAUGUCUGGGAAACUGCCUGAUGGAGGGGGAUAACUACUGGAAACGGUAGCUAAUACCGCAUAACGUCGCAAGACCAAAGAGGGGGACCCUCGGGCCUCUUGCCAUCGGAUGUGCCCAGAUGGGAUUAGCUUGUUGGUGGGGUAACGGCUCACCAAGGCGACGAUCCCUAGCUGGUCUGAGAGGAUGACCAGCCACACUGGAACUGAGACACGGUCCAGACUCCUACGGGAGGCAGCAGUGGGGAAUAUUG
Molecule: ribosomal RNA, 258 nt
Filed under: Escherichia coli
Lineage: Bacteria; Pseudomonadati; Pseudomonadota; Gammaproteobacteria; Enterobacterales; Enterobacteriaceae
Description: partial 16S ribosomal RNA
Rfam family: Bacterial small subunit ribosomal RNA
Source: RNAcentral